Molecule: ribosomal RNA, 436 nt
Filed under: uncultured Oscillospiraceae bacterium
Lineage: Bacteria; Bacillati; Bacillota; Clostridia; Eubacteriales; Oscillospiraceae
Description: partial 16S ribosomal RNA
Rfam family: Bacterial small subunit ribosomal RNA
Source: RNAcentral
ACGGAAGGCAGCAGUGGGGAAUAUUGGGCAAUGGGCGAAAGCCUGACCCAGCAACGCCGCGUGAAGGAAGAAGGUCUUCGGAUUGUAAACUUCUUUUAUGGGGGACGAAGAAAUGACGGUACCUCAUGAAUAAGCCACGGCUAACUACGUGCCAGCAGCCGCGGUAAUACGUAGGUGGCAAGCGUUGUCCGGAUUUACUGGGUGUAAAGGGCGUGUAGGCGGAGAUGCAAGUCAGAAGUGAAAUCUAGGGGCUUAACCCCUAAACUGCUUUUGAAACUGUAUCCCUUGAGUAUCGGAGAGGCAGGCGGAAUUCCCAGUGUAGCGGUGAAAUGCGUAGAUAUUGGGAGGAACACCAGUGGCGAAGGCGGCCUGCUGGACGACAACUGACGCUGAGGCGCGAAAGCGUGGGGAGCAAACAGGAUUGGAUACCCUGGUA